Molecule: ribosomal RNA, 460 nt
Filed under: uncultured bacterium
Lineage: Bacteria
Description: partial 16S ribosomal RNA
Rfam family: Bacterial small subunit ribosomal RNA
Source: RNAcentral
CCUACGGGAGGCAGCAGUGAGGAAUAUUGGUCAAUGGCCGGAAGGCUGAACCAGCCAAGCCGCGUGAAGGACGAAGGUGUCAAGCAUUGUAAACUUCUUUUGUCAAGAGCCAAAAUCAGGCCCGAGAGCCUGACGGAGGGUCCUUGAAGAAAAAGCAUCGGCUAAAGCUGUGCCAGCAGCCGCGGUAAUACGGAGGAUGCGGGCGUUAUCCGGAUUUAUUGGGUUUAAGGGGUGGGAAGGGGGGAUGGUAAGUCAGAGGGGAAAGCCCGGGGCUCAACCCCGGGACAGCCUUUGAAACUGGCUGGCUAGAGAGGAGGAGAGGUAAGCGGAAUGCGUAGUGUAGCGGUGAAAUGCGUAGAUAUUACGCAGAACACCGAUGGCGAAGGCAGCUUACCGGCCUGGAACUGACGCUGAGGCACGAAAGCGUGGGUAUCAAACAGGAUUAGAUACCCGUGUAGUC